This is a long non-coding RNA of Drosophila hydei, 595 nucleotides long. RefSeq lists it as uncharacterized. The transcript is spliced from 3 exons. NCBI's taxonomy places the organism in Eukaryota, Metazoa, Arthropoda, Insecta, Diptera, Drosophilidae. The record is from RefSeq and is a predicted model, not a curated record.
AAUUGCUGCCGGCUAGAUGUAAGCGAAUUGCGGCAGCUAAAUGGCAGACGACCAAACAAAACAUUUUUCUAAUCAAUUUAGCUUGUGUUCAAAUUAAUCACCUACACACAGAUGACUUCAAGAUGAAUCUUCAAGUGCGCAGCGUUGACCAAUGAGUGGUCAGUGCCUUGGCUGCAACAACAACUAAAACAGCAACAACAACAAGGCAUUGGAAUAAUAUUUGAUGAUCUCGAUGCAGCUUUCAAGCAACCCGGCGAGUAAUUAAGCAGCAAGUUCCAAAAGAUCAGCAGAUAAAGCAUGUGUGAGUGUCGACACCCACCUAUUGGCGCCCAAUUUCUGGCCCGAGCACACACACACAUAUUCGAAAUAAUCAUGGACAGACAUACAUACAGACUGAGGACAACGACGUCUGGCAACGACUCACGGUCAAGUUGAAAAACAUUGAGAGUGCGGAUCGUUAGCAACGGAUGCUGCUUGGAGGAUCAGAGCUGUUUUUUGUUUAUGGAGGUCAAAACUACACUAUUUGUUUUUGUUUCGAUCUCGCGUGUGUCACGUUAACCCAAUAAAUAAAACAGUUGUAAAUAGUGCUAACAAC